UAGCUAUUACAUGACCAUGACUUUACUCUAGCUGACCUCCUGGUCUAUCCCGUACCUGCAAACCUGGGGGAUUAAGGGAGUGGGGUGAGCUACUAGAGCCCAGUGAGCAGAAUAAUAAAACAUUAUAUUUAAAACAUAUGAUAUCAUGGAAUGCAUCACAUCACAAACAAAUCACAUCAAGGAUGAAUUUGUCACCUAUAGCCCUCUACACAUUCCAAUAGUGCCAGGGGCGUAGAAUGGGCCUCACUGGUCUUUCUCUUACAUAGCAUAACAUAACAUAACAUUCAAUUAAUGCUAGGGGC
This 302-nucleotide long non-coding RNA is filed under the name Manihot esculenta (cassava). RNAcentral describes it as "long non-coding RNA (MESC_LNC002119)". Lineage: Eukaryota; Viridiplantae; Streptophyta; Magnoliopsida; Malpighiales; Euphorbiaceae. The record is from RNAcentral.